This 396-nucleotide ribosomal RNA is filed under the name uncultured bacterium. RNAcentral's name for it is "bacterial SSU rRNA". It matches the Rfam family "Bacterial small subunit ribosomal RNA", at positions 29 to 454 of the family's 1533-position model. The record is from RNAcentral.
AACGAACGCUGGCGGCAGGCCUAACACAUGCAAGUCGAACGCCCCGCAAGGGGAGUGGCAGACGGGUGAGUAACACGUGGGAACAUACCCUUUGGUUCGGAAUAACUCAGGGAAACUUGAGCUAAUACCGGAUAAGCGCGAGAGCGGAGAGAUUUAUCGCCGAAGGAUCGGCCCGCGUCCGAUUAGCUAGUUGGUGAGGUAAUGGCUCACCAAGGCGACGAUCGGUAGCUGGUCUGAGAGGAUGAUCAGCCACAUUGGGACUGAGACACGGCCCAAACUCCUACGGGAGGCAGCAGUGGGGAAUAUUGGACAAUGGGCGCAAGCCUGAUCCAGCCAUGCCGCGUGAGUGAUGAAGGCCCUAGGGUUGUAAAGCUCUUUCGCCAGGGACGAUAAUGA